Non-coding RNA from Camellia sinensis, 2894 nucleotides. Lineage: Eukaryota; Viridiplantae; Streptophyta; Magnoliopsida; Ericales; Theaceae. The record is from RefSeq and is a predicted model, not a curated record.
CAGAGAAACAAGCCCAGGGGUUUGAGGGGAUAACACAAGGUCUCCGAGGAAGAAGAAUUUGGGCAAAGUCAGUCUCUGUCUCGCCAUUGGAGCACCACUGUCUUCCUCUAUGUGUGCAUCGCACACCAUUGCCUUCCUCUAGUGUGCAUCGCCAUCGCCAUCUCACCCAGUGGAAGAAGGAUUGAUUGGGCAAAGUCACUGUCUCUUUGUCUUGCUAUUGGAGCAUCACUGUCUUCCUCUGUGUCUGCAUCGCCAUGCCAUCUCACCCAGUUCUUUCAGCAGUUUCAGGUGUUGAAAUAUUUGCAAGUAAGAUAUUCAUAGGACUCCAUGAAACUUCCGUGCAUUGGUGUCACAGGGACAUAUAACAUUGUCAAGUGGAAUCCACAUAAAUUUCAUGCACGUUCUAUAGUUUUCAUGUUGAAGUUCCUCAGAAGCACAAACAUUGAAGCUUGGGUGUCCUUGGGUGAAUGGUUCUUUCAAUAACAAGUAUCUUUGUGCACGUUUCUGAUACAAACAUAGCAGCAUACUUGUUGAACAAAGCUACUGGAAACUUAAUUUCCUCAAUACUGUCUCUAUUGUGGAAGUGCUGUUUGCUAACUUGCCAAUUAAGGUAAUCUGCAUUAUAGUGUCUGACAAAAAAGCCUUACAAAGUAUAAAAGAGAAGCUGCAUCAUGAGUUCAUUUUACGCAUAAUGUUAAUGUUGUAUAGUAAGUUGUAACACUUGUGUUCUUAUUCCAAAUAGCCUUCGUAUUUUUGUAUACCCCUGUUUGGUUUUUGCAUAAGUUGAUAAGUUCACUUUGUGUUCUUAGUUGAGAUACCGGCAUACCUGUAUCUGGUUUUUAGUUUAUUAUUUUAAGUGCUUUUGCUAUUGUAAUUGGAAAUUAAACUAAAAGUUGCACCAGUUCUUUUAUAAAAAAUGCCUGAUCCAUUUUCCAUCAUAGUUGGCAUGAGAAUAAAAGUCACAUCACGCAGUGGUAAUUAAAUACAUUCACAUUUAUGGCAUUGUUACCAGAGCACUACCGUGAUGGAUUUAUAAAAUCUUUUGUCUCACAAGUUAAACCCUUUCGUCAAAGUCGUUCAACAGUUCUGUAUUUGAUCCUCCAAUCCCAGAAGCAAUGUGACUAUAAUACUAAUCAGUAUCACCAACAAAAAUUUAUACUUCGUAUAUAUUUAUCCUAAAAAACAAAAAAAAAAAUUCUACUUUGUAUAGACAAUAUACAACAAAUGUACCCAGAUGUGCUACGUAUGGUGAUGUUAUCAAAGCAAUCCCUUUAGAUUCAUUGAUGUUUGUAAUAUUCUCCAUGCUCUCAUCAAAUCACUCUACCCACGAGACAACAUAUUUUUAGCGCAUUUAUAAGAAUUGGAAUGUCAAAAGGUAUAUAUAUCCAUUAACCAAGCCUAAUCUGCCACUUAUUCAUGUCUCUCAACAAAAUUUAAUUGCUGGCUACAUUCAUCCUUAUGUUAAGAGUUCCGUAUACAAUGCAUACAUCAUCUGGAUAUAUUCAUACAUCUGUAGAAGUAUGACAAUAUUUCACAACGUCAUGGGCUCACCACUGGCAUUGUAAUCACUUCUGUAGAAGUAUGACAAUAUUUCACAACAUCAUGGGCUCACCACUAUUGUAAUCACGUUGUGUGAAGCACACUCCUGUGCACCUGGUUUGAGAAAAAAAGAUAUCACCAUAUGUACUACACUUUGAGAGCCACAUUAGAUGUGUUUUCUAUUACAUUUCUUAUAGAGCCAUAUUAGAUGCUGACUUACAUAAUCGAUCAGUGAUUUAUAUUUGGACUACUACUAAAUUGGUAGUCAUUUCCCUCCAAUGACUUGCAUAAUCGAUCGAUGAUUUAUAUAUAACUACUACUAAAUUGGUAGUCAUUUCCCUCUGAUAAUCAAUUUUGGGAUAGACUGCCUCCUCGGGAGGCUUUGGCUAUGGCUAUGGCUGACAAAGUUAGAUCUUAAGGUUUAAAAUUUAAAUGACGUAAAUGGUGGGAAACAUACACGCUCAUUCAAUAAUUAUGCAUUCCAUUGUCAACAUGUAUAUCCUAUUUCUUCUUGGUAUAUGAAAAAGUGGCCAUUUUGGGACCUACAAUUGCAAUUUCUUCAACUUUUCUUUUCCAAAUUUUCUCCAUCGAUAUCUACCUUUUGACCCAUGGAAUGAAUGCCUGGAAAAGUGAGUGACUAGAAGGUAAACGCUACAAUUUGUGCAUACCUUUAUCAUUGUCUUGAUUACCUGUGACUGACUUUAAAAAUAUAUAUGUAUAUAGGUAAAUAUAUUAGCUUUCCCAUUGAUCUAGAACUGUUUUCCUUCAAAUGUCUGACCGAAUCUCCAGUUUGCCGGAGCAACAUUGUAGGAGGUUAUGCUUCUUUGACUGCUAGUGGUGACCUCGAAUGACAGAGGCUGUCCAGUAAGGUUGAUAUCGCACUGCCAGUUUUGUCCCCAGUUCCUUCCCAUGGCUCUUCUUGUGAUAUCUGCAAUUUCGGCAAAGGCGGCCUCUGAGAUCUCAAAGUGUGCUCGGGGGAAAUUGCACCAGCCACCAUAAUCAGCUGGAAGCCCAUAAUUUGGUGGGCAGAAGUCAGUGGCAGUAAGAGUGAUGGAUGGGCUUCCCUGGAGGCACCACAGAAUGUGGUCGACACAUCUCACCUCGAAGCAACCACCGCAGAAAGCAAAACAGGCAUAAUACACUUGUGUGUAUAAGAAAGUGAAAGAGCAAGACUGGAUGUGGCAAAAGACAAAACUAGUAGGGGGGGGUUACCGGUGAUGAUGGAGGCAUCUGUUUCUUUGAAGUAUGUUGCCGUAGCAGACUUCCAUACACCAUCUUGGGCGGCAGGAGGAGGAGGAGCAGUAGCAGUAGCAGUAGCAGUCGUGUUGCUGUUGGAUGCAUGAAGGAGAAUGAAG